This 422-nucleotide ribosomal RNA is filed under the name uncultured bacterium. Its description in RNAcentral is "bacterial SSU rRNA". It matches the Rfam family "Bacterial small subunit ribosomal RNA", at positions 355 to 774 of the family's 1533-position model. The record is from RNAcentral.
UGAGGAAUAUUGGUCAAUGGACGAGAGUCUGAACCAGCCAAAUCGCGUGAAGGAAGACUGCCCUACGGGUUGUAAACUUCUUUUGUACAGGAAUAAAAGACAUUACGUGUAGUGUAUUGCAUGUACUGUACGAAUAAGCAUCGGCUAACUCCGUGCCAGCAGCCGCGGUAAUACGGAGGAUGCGAGCGUUAUCCGGAUUUAUUGGGUUUAAAGGGUGAGCAGGCGGGAUUUUAAGUCAGCGGUGAAAUUUUCAGGCUCAACCUGAACACUGCCGUUGAAACUGUGAUUCUUGAGUAUGGAUGAAGUAGGCGGAAUUCGUUGUGUAGCGGUGACAUGCUUAGAUAUAACGAGGAACUCCGAUUGCGUAGGCAGCUUACCAAGCCAUAACUGACGCUCAAGCACGAAAGCGUGGGGAUCAAACA